UGACGACAAAUCUCCGGAAUCUCUGUAUCACCUUGAUGAUCCACUCGAACCCCUUUAUCUGAUGACUGUCUGAAUUGCAAACUUGUC
This is a small nucleolar RNA of Engraulis encrasicolus (European anchovy), 87 nucleotides long. RefSeq annotates it as small nucleolar RNA MBII-202. The transcript has a single exon. NCBI's taxonomy places the organism in Eukaryota, Metazoa, Chordata, Actinopteri, Clupeiformes, Engraulidae. The record is from RefSeq and is a predicted model, not a curated record.